Molecule: ribosomal RNA, 711 nt
Filed under: Staphylococcus gallinarum
Lineage: Bacteria; Bacillati; Bacillota; Bacilli; Caryophanales; Staphylococcaceae
Description: partial 16S ribosomal RNA
Rfam family: Bacterial small subunit ribosomal RNA
Source: RNAcentral
CCGAAUUCGUCGACAACAGAGUUUGAUCCUGGCUCAGGAUGAACGCUGGCGGCGUGCCUAAUACAUGCAAGUCGAGCGAACAGAUAAGGAGCUUGCUCCUUUGACGUUAGCGGCGGACGGGUGAGUAACACGUGGGUAACCUACCUAUAAGACUGGAAUAACUCCGGGAAACCGGGGCUAAUGCCGGAUAACAUAUAGAACCGCAUGGUUCUAUAGUGAAAGAUGGUUUUGCUAUCACUUAUAGAUGGACCCGCGCCGUAUUAGCUAGUUGGUAAGGUAACGGCUUACCAAGGCGACGAUACGUAGCCGACCUGAGAGGGUGAUCGGCCACACUGGAACUGAGACACGGUCCAGACUCCUACGGGAGGCAGCAGUAGGGAAUCUUCCGCAAUGGGCGAAAGCCUGACGGAGCAACGCCGCGUGAGUGAUGAAGGGUUUCGGCUCGUAAAACUCUGUUAUUAGGGAAGAACAUAUGUGUAAGUAACUGUGCACAUCUUGACGGUACCUAAUCAGAAAGCCACGGCUAACUACGUGCCAGCAGCCGCGGUAAUACGUAGGUGGCAAGCGUUAUCCGGAAUUAUUGGGCGUAAAGCGCGCGUAGGCGGUUUCUUAAGUCUGAUGUGAAAGCCCACGGCUCAACCGUGGAGGGUCAUUGGAAACUGGGAAACUUGAGUGCAGAAGAGGAAAGUGGAAUUCCAUGUGUAGCGGUGA